CUACUGCACAUAUGUCAAAUUCCCACUAGUAUUUUCAGUUGCUCUUGCAGCGACGCGUGACUAAUGGAGCCGUAAUUGUGCAGAAAUCGAACCCUCAGCUGGACACGACGCUGGGAGGCACCGCCUCCCAGCUCGGCAGCACACCGGUCUCCUCGGUGUGCGGCGGUCGUGUCCAACUGACAGCC
This 185-nucleotide small nucleolar RNA is filed under the name Tetrapisispora phaffii CBS 4417. Its description in RNAcentral is "Small nucleolar RNA snR85". It matches the Rfam family "Small nucleolar RNA snR85". The record is from Rfam by way of RNAcentral. Lineage: Eukaryota; Fungi; Ascomycota; Saccharomycetes; Saccharomycetales; Saccharomycetaceae.